RNAcentral lists this transfer RNA (108 nucleotides) under Rhodocollybia butyracea. RNAcentral describes it as "tRNA-Asp". The record is from RNAcentral. Lineage: Eukaryota; Fungi; Basidiomycota; Agaricomycetes; Agaricales; Omphalotaceae.
UCCCUGGUAGUAUAUCGGCUAGUACACGCGCCUGUCAUGUGAUGAGCAAUCAAGGUUUAAAUCCCUUUAUACCCGCGCGAAAGCUGGGUUCGACUCCCAGCCAGGGAG